CCCUCCAUUCCCUUCAUUUAGUGCCGUAUCCUCUUCAUAUCGACAGCUUCGCUCUGGUUAGGAAGUAAAGAGUAGUCCCUUAAGUCGUAGCUGAUUCACCAUGAGAGCCAAGUGGAAGAAGAAGCGUAUGAGGAGGUUGAAGAGGAAGCGCCGAAAGAUGAGGCAGAGAUCUAAGUAAAGGCCUAUUCCGCACGACUCAGCAUUCUUAGCUUUUGGCGUAUCUUCUUUGCCUUAGGUUAUUGCGUCUUUUUGUUUCCUUUUUCAGAACAUUGCAGUUAAUUUCUCCUAGUGUUUUUGUGCUAAUGGCACCUAAUGUACUUCUGCUUUUGAGGUAUAUUGAAACUCUUAUAGCCAUUUUCGCUUAUAAUUUUAUGAUAUUUACUCCUUAAUUUAGUAAACUUCACCAGAUUUAUUU
Molecule: long non-coding RNA, 415 nt
Organism: Nicotiana attenuata
Lineage: Eukaryota; Viridiplantae; Streptophyta; Magnoliopsida; Solanales; Solanaceae
Exons: 2
Source: RefSeq, a predicted model, not a curated record